Molecule: ribosomal RNA, 506 nt
Filed under: uncultured bacterium
Lineage: Bacteria
Description: bacterial SSU rRNA
Rfam family: Bacterial small subunit ribosomal RNA
Source: RNAcentral
AUUGAACGCUGGCGGCAUGCCUUACACAUGCAAGUCGAACGGUAACAGGUCUUCGGAUGCUGACGAGUGGCGAACGGGUGAGUAAUGUAUCGGAACGUGCCUGGUAGUGGGGGAUAACUAGUCGAAAGAUUAGCUAAUACCGCAUACGACCUACGGGUGAAAGCAGGGGGACCUUCGGGCCUUGUGCUAUCAGAGCGGCCGAUAUCUGAUUAGCUAGUUGGUGGGGUAAAAGCCCACCAAGGCGACGAUCAGUAGCUGGUUUGAGAGAACGACCAGCCACACUGGAACUGAGACACGGUCCAGACUCCUACGGGAGGCAGCAGUGGGGAAUUUUGGACAAUGGGGGCGAGCCCUGAUCCAGCAAUGCCGCGUGAGUGAAGAAGGCCCUCGGGUUGUAAAGCUCUUUUGUCCGGAAAGAAAAGCAAUCGGUUAAUACCCGGUUGUUCUGACGGUACCGGAAGAAUAAGCACCGGCUAACUUCGUGCCAGCAGCCGCGGUAAGGUAGA